RNAcentral lists this ribosomal RNA (361 nucleotides) under uncultured bacterium. RNAcentral's name for it is "bacterial SSU rRNA". It matches the Rfam family "Bacterial small subunit ribosomal RNA", at positions 972 to 1335 of the family's 1533-position model. The record is from RNAcentral.
UACCAAGGCUUGACAUCGCCGGAAAACUCGCAGAGAUGCGGGGUCCUUUUGGGCCGGUGACAGGUGGUGCAUGGCUGUCGUCAGCUCGUGUCGUGAGAUGUUGGGUUAAGUCCCGCAACGAGCGCAACCCUCGUUCCAUGUUGCCAGCACGUGAUGGUGGGGACUCAUGGGAGACCGCCGGGGUCAACUCGGAGGAAGGUGGGGAUGACGUCAAGUCAUCAUGCCCCUUAUGUCUUGGGCUGCAAACAUGCUACAAUGGCCGGUACAGAGGGCUGCGAUACCGUGAGGUGGAGCGAAUCCCUUAAAGCCGGUCUCAGUUCGGAUCGAAGUCUGCAACUCGACUUCGUGAAGUCGGAGUCGC